UCCUUUCUUUGGAGGUGUAGUGCCACAUU
Molecule: non-coding RNA, 29 nt
Filed under: Rattus norvegicus (Norway rat)
Lineage: Eukaryota; Metazoa; Chordata; Mammalia; Rodentia; Muridae
Source: RNAcentral